AUUGAACGCUGGCGGCAGGCCUAACACAUGCAAGUCGAGCGGAUGAAGGGAGCUUGCUCCUGGAUUCAGCGGCGGACGGGUGAGUAAUGCCUAGGAAUCUGCCUGGUAGUGGGGGAUAACGUCCGGAAGCGGGCGCUAAUACCGCAUACGUCCUGAGGGAGAAUGUGGGGGAUCUUCGGACCUCACGCUAUCAGAUGAGGCUAGGUCGGAUUAGCUAGUUGGUGGGGUAAAGGGCUACCAAGGCGACGAUCCGUAACUGGUCUGAGAGGAUGAUCAGUCACACUGGAACUGAGACACGGUCCAGACUCCUACGGGAGGCGGCAGUGGGGAAUAUUGGACAAUGGGCGAAGGCCUGAUCCAGCCAUGCCGCGUGUGUGAAGAAGGUCUUCGGAUUGUAAAGCACUUUAAGUUGGGAGGAAGGGCAGUAAGUUAAUACCUUGCUGUGUUGACGUUACCAACAGAAUAAGCACCGGCUAACUUCGUG
RNAcentral lists this ribosomal RNA (484 nucleotides) under uncultured bacterium. Its description in RNAcentral is "partial 16S ribosomal RNA". It matches the Rfam family "Bacterial small subunit ribosomal RNA", at positions 30 to 507 of the family's 1533-position model. The record is from RNAcentral.